UACAGAGGGUGCAAGCGUUAAUCGGAAUUACUGGGCGUAAAGCGUGCGUAGACGGUCAUGUAAGUCGGGUGUGAAAGCCCCGGGCUCAACCUGGGAAUUGCAUUCGAGACUGCAUGGCUAGGAUGCGGAAGAGGGAAGCGGAAUUUCCGGUGUAGCGGUGAAAUGCGUAGAUAUCGGAAGGAACACCAGUGGCGAAGGCGGCGAUCUGGGAAGAUAUUGACGCUGAGGUGCGAAAGCGUGGGGAGCAAACAGG
RNAcentral lists this ribosomal RNA (253 nucleotides) under uncultured bacterium. Its description in RNAcentral is "partial 16S ribosomal RNA". It matches the Rfam family "Bacterial small subunit ribosomal RNA", at positions 524 to 776 of the family's 1533-position model. The record is from RNAcentral.